This 1343-nucleotide ribosomal RNA is filed under the name uncultured bacterium. Its description in RNAcentral is "16S ribosomal RNA". It matches the Rfam family "Bacterial small subunit ribosomal RNA", at positions 28 to 1378 of the family's 1533-position model. The record is from RNAcentral.
GACGAACGCUUGCGGCGUGCUUAACACAUGCAAGUCGAACGGAAAGGCCCUGCUUUUGUGGGGUGCUCGAGUGGCGAACGGGUGAGUAACACGUGAGUAACCUGCCCUUGACUUUGGGAUAACUUCAGGAAACUGGGGCUAAUACCGGAUAGGAGCUCCUGCUGCAUGGUGGGGGUUGGAAAGUUUCGGCGGUUGGGGAUGGACUCGCGGCUUAUCAGCUUGUUGGUGGGGUAGUGGCUUACCAAGGCUUUGACGGGUAGCCGGCCUGAGAGGGUGACCGGCCACAUUGGGACUGAGAUACGGCCCAGACUCCUACGGGAGGCAGCAGUGGGGAAUAUUGCACAAUGGGCGGAAGCCUGAUGCAGCAACGCCGCGUGCGGGAUGACGGCCUUCGGGUUGUAAACCGCUUUCGCCUGUGACGAAGCGUGAGUGACGGUAAUGGGUAAAGAAGCACCGGCUAACUACGUGCCAGCAGCCGCGGUGAUACGUAGGGUGCGAGCGUUGUCCGGAUUUAUUGGGCGUAAAGGGCUCGUAGGUGGUUGAUCGCGUCGGAAGUGUAAUCUUGGGGCUUAACCCUGAGCGUGCUUUCGAUACGGGUUGACUUGAGGAAGGUAGGGGAGAAUGGAAUUCCUGGUGGAGCGGUGGAAUGCGCAAAUAUCUGGAGGAACACCAGUGGCGAAGGCGGUUCUCUGGGCCUUUCCUGACGCUGAGGAGCGAAAGCGUGGGGAGCGAACAGGCUUAGAUACCCUGGUAGUCCACGCUGUAAACGGUGGGUACUAGGUGUGGGGUCCAUUCCACGGGUUCCGUGCCGUAGCUAACGCUUUAAGUACCCCGCCUGGGGAGUACGGCCGCAAGGCUAAAACUCAAAGGAAUUGACGGGGCCCCGCACAAGCGGCGGAGCAUGCGGAUUAAUUCGAUGCAACGCGUAGAACCUUACCUGGGUUUGACAUGGAUCGGGAGUGCUCAGAGAUGGGUGUGCCUCUUUUGGGGUCGGUUCACAGGUGGUGCAUGGCUGUCGUCAGCUCGUGUCGUGAGAUGUUGGGUUAAGUCCCGCAACGAGCGCAACCCUUGUUCACUGUUGCCAGCACGUUAUGGUGGGGACUCAGUGGAGACCGCCGGGGUCAACUCGGAGGAAGGUGGGGAUGACGUCAAGUCAUCAUGCCCCUUAUGUCCAGGGCUUCACGCAUGCUACAAUGGCUGGUACAGAGAGUGGCGAGCCUGUGAGGGUGAGCGAAUCUCGGAAAGCCGGUCUCAGUUCGGAUUGGGGUCUGCAACUCGACCUCAUGAAGUCGGAGUCGCUAGUAAUCGCAGAUCAGCAACGCUGCGGUGAAUACGUUCCCGGG